RNAcentral lists this ribosomal RNA (200 nucleotides) under uncultured bacterium. RNAcentral describes it as "partial 16S ribosomal RNA". It matches the Rfam family "Bacterial small subunit ribosomal RNA", at positions 29 to 255 of the family's 1533-position model. The record is from RNAcentral.
AGCGAACGCUGGCGGCAGGCCUAACACAUGCAAGUCGAACGGACCCUUCGGGGUUAGUGGCGGACGGGUGAGUAACACGUGGGAACGUGCCUUUAGGUUCGGAAUAGCUCCUGGAAACGGGUGGUAAUGCCGAAUGUGCCCUUCGGGGAAAGGAUUUAUCGCCUUUAGAGCGGCCCGGCGUCUGAUUAGCUAGUUGGUGA